CAGUCGCCGCGGGAAUACGUAGGGUGCGAGCGUUAAUCGGAAUUACUGGGCGUAAAGCGUGCGCAGGCGGUUUUGUAAGACAGAGGUGAAAUCCCCGGGCUCAACCUGGGAACUGCCUUUGUGACUGCAAGGCUAGAGUACGGCAGAGGGGGAUGGAAUUCCGCGUGUAGCAGUGAAAUGCGUAGAUAUGCGGAGGAACACCGAUGGCGAAGGCAAUCCCCUGGGCCUGUACUGACGCUCAUGCACGAAAGCGUGGGGAGCAAACAGGAUUAGAUACCCGUGUAGUCCCUGUCUCUUAUAC
This 301-nucleotide ribosomal RNA is filed under the name uncultured bacterium. RNAcentral describes it as "partial 16S ribosomal RNA". It matches the Rfam family "Bacterial small subunit ribosomal RNA", at positions 509 to 807 of the family's 1533-position model. The record is from RNAcentral.